UCAAAACUGAAUCGAAAAUGCAAGACUUGCUUUAAUUGUUUUCCUUCAAUUUCUUUCUGUAUUAUUUACUAUAAUGGAACUCAUGUUAUUUACACUGUGCUAGAUCAAUACAUAAAACACUGACAGAAAACAAUUAAAGCAAGUCUUGCAUUUUCGGUUCAGUUUCGA
Molecule: microRNA precursor, 168 nt
Filed under: Paramuricea clavata
Lineage: Eukaryota; Metazoa; Cnidaria; Anthozoa; Malacalcyonacea; Plexauridae
Source: RNAcentral